Molecule: long non-coding RNA, 1045 nt
Filed under: Oreochromis niloticus (Nile tilapia)
Lineage: Eukaryota; Metazoa; Chordata; Actinopteri; Cichliformes; Cichlidae
Description: lncRNA (ENSONIG00000033504.1)
Source: RNAcentral
CGCAAAUGGUUCAGUCCGCACAGGUGUAACCACCAUUAAAGAAAACCGGUGCAAAUAUAAAAUAAAGAGGAAGCAGACGAUUAAGAUUCAUUUAAGAGUUUUUUUAGUUCAGUUUCUAGUUCUUUGUGUCGGCUGAACCAGCUUAACAUGCUUUGAACUUGACACCUGCAGCUGACAUUGGACCGUCGGAAACAUCCACAGACAUGCAGAGACUCCUGUGAGGCAUACGUGUGCGUACUCCACCCUCCCAUACUCAGGACUGAAGUCAAGAUGCCAGAUCCAGUGUGAGCAUCAGGCUGCCUGAAAACGACUUGUUCUAAAGUAACAACCCAAACGGAUUUGGCUGAAAUAUGGUAGCUGAAUACCAACUGGCCCACAGGCCACUUAGUUUUUGGAGGCUGCUCCUGGACUGGGAUUUCUGCCACUGGUGAAGAUCAGUAUUCAUCAAUGUCAGUUACAGGUUUACAUGCCACACUGAACGGCUGCUACACUGCAUCGCAUUCAUCGGUGGUUUAAUCAAACCUAGAAGAAACAUAACAGACAGAAACUAUGACGAAGUAACUUGCUCCAGUCUGCUGUAUCUGAUACAGACACGAGCAGCACAUCUCUCAUCACACAUCACAUUUUCCCGAGGUGGUCCCCCUGCAGAGGCUUACAGCUGAUGUUAUGAUGUCAUGCUGCGCCUGGUAUUCCAAUUAGAGGAGACGGUUCGUUUGCUUCAGGUCUGUUAAAGGAAUGUUUUCAAGUCCUUCUGACAGAUCACUUGUGGAGUAAGUUUUUUGUCCUCAGCUGAUUCUAACCUGGAUAUGUUACCAAUCAGUCUGGAUGCUUUUUAACUCGUUGACAUUCUUCAAGCAACCACCUGCCCUCUGACAGCUCACAGGCAGACACUACUGGUGAUUUUUACCAUAAACACCAUCAAUGCUGCUAAAAAAGAGUAAGGGUAAUUAGAACCAGCUUCAUAUUCUUGACUUUUUUCAAUAUGAGAACUUCUAAUUGUCACGGCGAGUGGGAUGAGCCGUGUGGAAAAUAAUACAGGAGGAUC